AUUGAACGCUGGCGGCAUGCCUUACACAUGCAAGUCGAACGGCGGCACGGGUGCUUGCACCUGGUGGCGAGUGGCGAACGGGUGAGUUAUACAUCGGAACAUGUCCUGUAGUGGGGGAUAGCCCGGCGAAAGCCGGAUUAAUACCGCAUACGAUCUACGGAUGAUAGCGGGGGACCUUCGGGCCUUGCGUUAUAGGGAUGGCUGAGGGCGGAUCAGCUCGUUGGUGGGGUAAGGGCCUACCAAGGCGACGCUCAGUAGCUGGUCUGAGCGGACGACCAGCCACACUGGGACUGAGACACGGCCCAGACUCCUACGGGAGGCAGCAGUGGGGAAUUUUGGACAAUGGGCGAAAGCCUGAUCCAGCAAUGCCGCGUGUGUGAAGAAGGCCUUCGGGUUGUAAAGCACUUUUGUCCGGAAAGAAAUCCUUGGCCCUAAUACGGUCGGGGGAUGACGGUACCGGAAGAAUAAGCACCGGCUAACUACGUG
This 486-nucleotide ribosomal RNA is filed under the name uncultured bacterium. Its description in RNAcentral is "partial 16S ribosomal RNA". It matches the Rfam family "Bacterial small subunit ribosomal RNA", at positions 30 to 507 of the family's 1533-position model. The record is from RNAcentral.